UGUUGGGCUGCUGAGGGGCGAUGAGGCCAGCCUGGGAGUGGUGGUGGAGAGCCCCCCUGAGCAGGACAGCAGCACAGAGGGCAGGAAGCCAAGCCAAGAGGCUGGGAGGGACGAUCCCUGCUGAUGGCGUCGAGCACCCAGGCUGUCAGCUGGAUGAGAAUGGAGAGCUCUACCUGCUUCUCCUGCUGUGCUGUGCCCGGUGUCCAGAGCCAGCCGGCAGCAGCAGGGCAUCAGUGACGUGCGCUGGACCAGUGAACACUGCAGACCACACAGGAGCAUACUUCCAGGAGUGCUAAGCGCCGUUGGCUCCUUCACUGUCCAUGGAGCCCAGCUCUGUGCCCGGCCCUGACUUGCACUGUAGGCAUCAUGGCCGUGAAGGAGACAAACUCUGCCGCCCCCUGGAGCCGACGUCACAGAGGGGCAAACAGUGAGCAGAGCACAGCAGCCCACUGUGCAUGUGCAGCCAGAAGCGUCUUCUCCAAUGGAGGCCGAGGACGUCACUCCCUGGUCCUGAUCCCCUGCUCCUUAGAACCUGAGCCAGGGCCCUUGCAGUGGAACUGAGCUUGGACUAAUGAGGCAGCUCAGAGGUAGCCGCUGGCCAGCCAGCCAGGGCCCAACCUCACAGAAGAGGAGAAAGCCUCAUCAGCAGAGCAUUCCACUGUCAGAGCUGACUGCUUUCCAGGCCUGAGCUGGAGGAUAUCUAAGGCCCUGCUCUCUGUGGGUGAAGGAAAAUCUUCUCUGCCCGCUCAGAUGCUGGGACCGUCCCAGGGCCGUCUCAUGAGCAGGUGGAAAGACUCUGCAUGCAGUGUCACCGGCCUUGCGAGCAGCAGCCAGCGGCCUCCUGGACAUCCUCAGGCUUCUGAGGAGCCCCUGCGGAAGCUCCCUGACACACGACCCUCCCUCUGGACCCCAAGAUGUCUGGCUUCCUGUGGAGCUCCCUUAGACAUGGAGCUGGGUGAGCAGCCCAGACCUCGGUCAGCACUCCCAGGGGGAUCGCUCUGCACCACUGUCAUAAAAAGGAGACAUCGUCCCAGUGGACAGGCCCAGCUCCUGCGUUACAGUCAGAAAACUCAGCCUGACGUGGAAGUGACCCGAGGCUGCUUUGAGGGCCCAAACCCGUGCCGCAGUCCAGGCUCUGAGGUUUCACCUCAGUGGGGCUGAAAUGCAGACCUGCAGUGAGGGUGGCCCCUCCUCAUGACCCCAGGUGCCUCCAGGCCGUCCUCCUAGUUCACCAAGUGUUUUGGACACGAUGCUUCUUAGGUCACGGAGGUGCCAGGUCCCUUCUGAGUUGAAUCUCUGCAGAUAGUGCCACUGUGGUUGGCAUAGCUCCGCUGGCCGCUGGACCAAGGCCUCUCACCUGCAUAUCCCUGCAUGUCCACGUGUCCUUCUUGCACGGCCCCCACGCACAGCGGAAGGCGUCCACCUUGGGCCGAACUCCGACGCCGCUGGCCAGCUCUGGAUUCUAUGUCUCACCUCCACAUAAAUGCAGGGGGGCGGCUCGACCUCCCGCUCUGGGAUGGGACUGGCUGGGACCUCACAUGGGCCAUACCCUGUUCGGCUUGCCAGGCCGGGUCCUGCUCGGCAGGCAGCAGCACAGGCCUCGUAGCACUGUGAGCAGCUUCCCAGUGGCGCCCCCACCUCUGGCCCUGGCUGCAGCCUGAAGGGGAGGCUGGGGUCGCCCCACCAGGCUAUCCAGCCUGCCGAGAGUCUCUGUGGCAGUUUCCCUCCCGGGCCCCACGGCUGGUGCUGGUGCUGUGGGUGGAGGGGACGGCCCCGGGGACCCGCGGAGAGGUCGGGCUGGGGGUGGUGGCGCCCGACUCCAGGCGAGCAGGCUCUGUGACCUUCAGCACUGACUCCUGCUUCUCCUCGGGCCACUGACAGCCAGCCUCGCAAAGCCAGGUGGGCAGAACCGGCUCACUGCCACCACGUCAGCCGAGAUGGGCAGAGGCCCUCAGCUGUGCUGUGCAGGCUGGCAAAGAGCUGCAGCUGCUGGCCUCGGCGGACGGGAGGGACCUCCCGGUGCUGGUGUGCCCAUCCCCCUGGGCCUUCUGAGACUUCAGGAUGAAGAACAUGCCCACACUAUUGUCAUACCUUCAUCUGCGAGACUCCUGGAUUUGAUUCCACUGAAAACCCAUCUUCAUCAUUGCUUCUGUCACCCAGGAGUCCCUUGUGUCACAAGGCAGCUCCUAUACGGGCUCAGUUUCGGCCAGCUCUGAUUGACCCAUGGGUCUCCCAUGACCUCUUCUAAGGUCUUCCUCUUCCUGGGGUCAAGGGUCAGCAGGACUCUCAUAAUUGGAUGCAUUCCAACAAAAGGAGCAUGGGGAGCGAGUAGGCCCCUCUGAGCAUGCUCUGCCGCACGUCACUGAAGUCCUCUCCCCAGAACGGCGGGGACCCAGUGAGCAUGACAUGGAGCAGCACGCCAAGGCUCCAGCCGUCAGCUGGGGGGCCGUCUUAGGGCUGCAGUCGCAGGACCUCCGGGGCCGUGUAGCCGGGGGUGCCCCAGUAGGUGCUCAGUGGCCGGCCGGGGACCACGCUGCUGAGGCCGAAGUCGGCCAGCUUCGCGUUCCCCUCCGGGUCCAGGAGCACGUUCUCCAGCUUCAGGUCCCGGUGCACGAUGCCCUUGCGGUGGCAGUACUGGAGAGCCGAGACGAGCUGCCGGGACCGGCCGCGGGCCUCCUCCGUCAGGGGGCCAUGCUGCAACCGAGGGUCGAGGGUGUCCCCUCUGCUGAUGUAUUCUGUGAUGAUGAACAGCGUCUCCUCCGUGUCGAUCACCUCUAGCAGCUUUACAAUGUGGGGUGGUGCAAUAUCUUCAAACUCUGCAUUUCACCGAGGAGUCUCUUGGCUCUGGAGGAGCUCUGCUCCUGCUUCGGGGUGAUUUUCACGGCAACCUCUGUCCCGGCCGGGAUGUGCAGGGCCAGCUUCACCUGUGAAGGAGCCCUCCCCAAUGGUCCUGAGGAGCUCGUAAUCGUGAAGACAGGUCUGCCUGCCAGAGAGGUGGCAGCGAGGCCUGGAAGCAUGGUGACCUCAUAACUACACUUACUGACAAUACCAACCAGUGAUGCUAACUAUGCUUACUAACUACGCCAACAAACAAAAUGUUAGUCUGCUAACUAAUACUGACUAACAAUAGUAACAAGGCCACCGAUGCUUGCUAACUUACUAACUAUGCUAAUAAGUAACACUAACUAUACCAAAGAUGCUAACUCUACUAACUACACCAACAAUACUAACUAUACUAACUGUAAUAACAAUACUAACUAAAAAAUUGUUUUAAAAUGUGAAAAAGAACAAAAAAGGCAAGGAAAAAUAAAAAAUGAGAAAAGAACAGGUUUUCGUAAAUUCCAUCACAGUGGCUCCUUAUGAAGUCAGAGCAGGAAAUGCACCAGGCAUGGCUGGGGAUAAACUAUAGUGGUUGGCUCCCUUUUUGGUCUCAAGAACACGUUACUGUGAAAAAAAAAAAACAGGACAGCAAAGAGCUUUUUAUGUAUGUAGGAUAUUAGACAGUGAUAUUUACUUUAUUAGAAAUUAAAACCUGUAAGAUGCUUCAGUGGC
Long non-coding RNA from Equus asinus (donkey), 3552 nucleotides. The record is from Ensembl. Lineage: Eukaryota; Metazoa; Chordata; Mammalia; Perissodactyla; Equidae.